CUGGAGGUAUCAGAAGUGCGAAUGCUGACAUAAGUAACGAUAAAGCGGGUGAAAAGCCCGCUCGCCGGAAGACCAAGGGUUCCUGUCCAACGUUAAUCGGGGCAGGGUGAGUCGACCCCUAAGGCGAGGCCGAAAGGCGUAGUCGAUGGGAAACAGGUUAAUAUUCCUGUACUUGGUGUUACUGCGAAGGGGGGACGGAGAAGGCUAUGUUGGCCGGGCGACGGUUGUCCCGGUUUAAGCGUGUAGGCUGGUUUUCCAGGCAAAUCCGGAAAAUCAAGGCUGAGGCGUGAUGACGAGGCACUACGGUGCUGAAGCAACAAAUGCCCUGCUUCCAGGAAAAGCCUCUAAGCAUCAGGUAACAUCAAAUCGUACCCCAAACCGACACAGGUGGUCAGGUAGAGAAUACCAAGGCGCUUGAGAGAACUCGGGUGAAGGAACUAGGCAAAAUGGUGCCGUAACUUCGGGAGAAGGCACGCUGAUAUGUAGGUGAAGUCCCUUGCGGAUGGAGCUGAAAUCAGUCGAAGAUACCAGCUGGCUGCAACUGUUUAUUAAAAACACAGCACUGUGCAAACACGAAAGUGGACGUAUACGGUGUGACGCCUGCCCGGUGCCGGAAGGUUAAUUGAUGGGGUUAGCCGCAAGGCGAAGCUCUUGAUCGAAGCCCCGGUAAACGGCGGCCGUAACUAUAACGGUCCUAAGGUAGCGAAAUUCCUUGUCGGGUAAGUUCCGACCUGCACGAAUGGCGUAAUGAUGGCCAGGCUGUCUCCACCCGAGACUCAGUGAAAUUGAACUCGCUGUGAAGAUGCAGUGUACCCGCGGCAAGACGGAAAGACCCCGUGAACCUUUACUAUAGCUUGACACUGAACAUUGAGCCUUGAUGUGUAGGAUAGGUGGGAGGCUUUGAAGUGUGGACGCCAGUCUGCAUGGAGCCGACCUUGAAAUACCACCCUUUAAUGUUUGAUGUUCUAACGUUGACCCGUAAUCCGGGUUGCGGACAGUGUCUGGUGGGUAGUUUGACUGGGGCGGUCUCCUCCUAAAGAGUAACGGAGGAGCACGAAGGUUGGCUAAUCCUGGUCGGACAUCAGGAGGUUAGUGCAAUGGCAUAAGCCAGCUUGACUGCGAGCGUGACGGCGCGAGCAGGUGCGAAAGCAGGUCAUAGUGAUCCGGUGGUUCUGAAUGGAAGGGCCAUCGCUCAACGGAUAAAAGGUACUCCGGGGAUAACAGGCUGAUACCGCCCAAGAGUUCAUAUCGACGGCGGUGUUUGGCACCUCGAUGUCGGCUCAUCACAUCCUGGGGCUGAAGUAGGUCCCAAGGGUAUGGCUGUUCGCCAUUUAAAGUGGUACGCGAGCUGGGUUUAGAACGUCGUGAGACAGUUCGGUCCCUAUCUGCCGUGGGCGCUGGAGAACUGAGGGGGGCUGCUCCUAGUACGAGAGGACCGGAGUGGACGCAUCACUGGUGUUCGGGUUGUCAUGCCAAUGGCACUGCCCGGUAGCUAAAUGCGGAAGAGAUAAGUGCUGAAAGCAUCUAAGCACGAAACUUGCC
Molecule: ribosomal RNA, 1542 nt
Filed under: Escherichia coli
Lineage: Bacteria; Pseudomonadati; Pseudomonadota; Gammaproteobacteria; Enterobacterales; Enterobacteriaceae
Description: partial 23S ribosomal RNA
Rfam family: Bacterial large subunit ribosomal RNA
Source: RNAcentral